GCGUGGGCACACGCACCUCACAAGUCCGGGAACUGUGUCCACGCCCUUUUAAAGAGGACCACGCCCUUCCCACGGCCCCGCCCCCGAUGGCGAAAGAAGUCAACGACAGCGCCCACCACAGGCUUUCCUUAAAGGGGAAACCCAUUUCUGUCGUCUAAAAAAGGAGCUUCCUACAGCGCCUUCCCUUAAGGUUUGCAGCCAGAAACAGGUAUGGUGGAAGCCAUCAAGACAUCAAAGGAGGAAAGACUUAUUGUCCUCAGUGAAAGUGUAGAUUUGGGCAGCUCCACCACUACCAGCAAUCCCAUCUACAAAUUUGGGGGAUAAAUAAAGAAUCAUGGAAAACUUUGAGAAGGAGGUGAGUGAGAUGGAAAAAGCCUCCUUCAAGUGUACCUGGAUCCUGGAUAAACCGAAACCUGAAUGUGA
Long non-coding RNA from Ictidomys tridecemlineatus (thirteen-lined ground squirrel), 423 nucleotides. RefSeq lists it as uncharacterized. Lineage: Eukaryota; Metazoa; Chordata; Mammalia; Rodentia; Sciuridae. The record is from RefSeq and is a predicted model, not a curated record.